Molecule: ribosomal RNA, 950 nt
Filed under: Trogodendron monstrosum
Lineage: Eukaryota; Metazoa; Arthropoda; Insecta; Coleoptera; Cleridae
Description: partial 16S ribosomal RNA
Source: RNAcentral
GAAAUUGAUUAAUUUAUUUAGGUUUAAAGUUUUAAAUAUACUAAUAAAAGUAGUUUAAUUUUUAUUAUUUAUUUUUAAAAAAUUUGUUUUAUAAUAGAUUAUAGUAUUGAGAAAGAAUUUUUUUAAAUAGUUUAAAGAAAAAUUUAAUAUUUGUACCUUGUGUAUCAGGGUUGAUUUAAAAAUAUUAUUAAAUUAUAUAUUCUCGAAUUUAAAAGAGCUAAUUAAUUAUAAAUUUUAUUGUUAAAUAAAUAUUUAUAAUAUUUAAUUAGAAAUGAAACGUUAUUCGUUUUUAAAUAUAUCUAGUUUUUAAAGAAAUAAAUUUAAUUUAUUUAUUAAUAAUUAAAAUAUUUAAUAUUUAAUAUUUUAUUUAUUAAUAUUAAAAUUUUUUAGGGAAAAGCUUAAAAAGGGAGGUUUAUAAUAAAUUAUUGGUAUUUAAUAAAUUAUAGGAUUAAAAAUUUCUAUAAAUAUAAAAUUGUUAUAAUUAAUUAUUUAUUUUAUUAAUAUUUAUAUUUUAUUUAAAUUUUAUAUUUAAAUUUAAAUUUUAAUAUUUUUUUAUUUGGAAAUAAUGAUUGAAUUAGUAUAAUAAUUAGUUUAUAAUUAAAUUUUAUUUUAAGGUCAAUUUAAGGAACUCGGCAAAUAAAUUUUUCACCUGUUUAAUAAAAACAUGUCUUUUUGAUUAUAAUUUAAAGUCUAAUCUGCCCCCUGAGGAUUUAAAUGGCCGCGGUAUUUUGACCGUGCAAAGGUAGCAUAAUCAUUAGUUUCUUAAUUAGAAGCUGGAAUGAAUGAUUGGAUGAGAAAAUUUCUGUCUCAAAUUAAUUUAUUUAUAAUUUUAUUUUUAAGUUAAAAAGCUUAAAUAUAUUUAAAAGACGAGAAGACCCUAUAGAGUUUUAUUUUUAUUAUUAAGUAUUUAAAUAUUGAUUAUAAAUUAAAUUUUUUGAUAAAAAUUUUGU